AUGACAUACAUCAAUGUUGAUGAGAGACAGGAACACUGCCGGGUGAUCUUGAGCUGCCAAAAUAAUCAGCUCUAUGCACAACAUGGCUUAAAGGAGUUUUCAGUUAGCAGCAUGCAUCCACUAAAGAACUUAGACACUCAUAUUUUUUCUGGGGACUUCCCCACUCUACACUCCUGCCACACAGGCAAGGCGCUUUUGGCCAGUCCUGUGGAAAAACGGAUGUAUCGGAGCGUGGAGAACCUUCACUGGGCAACAGUAGCUGACUCUGGGCUGUAUUCUCACUGCCGGAGCCUGGAUAACGAGAUCAUCUUUCGCUAUAGAGGCACCCGUCAGUGGUCAGAAAGCUGCGUGGAUGUGGCCCCCAGAAGGAGCACAUUGGAGUCUUUGAGAAAUCUUUCUCUCCGUCAUAAACAGACAUCACAGUCAGCACAGAAUGUGCUCCUCCCUCCUUAUGUCAAAGUGCCUCAGUGGCUCUUCCCUUCUGCAGAGGACAAAGCACUGCGCGAGGAUGCCAAAAAAGAGCUGAAGGAGAAGCUGAGGCUGCACAGCAGUAAGGUGGCAGAGCCCAACAAGCCAGUGCGUCCACAGGCAGCCCUGACUGACCUGGCAGCACAGGAGUAUUCUGAAUGCCAGGUGUGCCAGCAGUACAAGAAUGGUUGUGCUGUCAGCUGCUGCACAGUGUUGGUGGAACACACUGCUCUGAGACACAGCCUCACCGGGAGGCAGAGACUCUGUGUCGCACACAGGAUCAUCAGUCCAGAAGACAUCAAGCAGGAGGCUCAGCGGAGGCUUCGACUCCACAGGCAGAAUAGCUCCCCUAGCUUGCCCUUCCAGCAUGCUGAGGAAAGCUAUGAGAUGGAGAAAUCCAGAACAGCAGAAUCGCUGGAACGACUCAGUGGGGAAAUAGAUGUCAGAGAAAGACUGGGGCAGAGCAGGAAAAGCCGCUGUAAAGGGAGGCUGUACAUACCCACCUUUGAGGAAUUCAAGCAAAUGAGAAGUAAGGAGGCAAAUCCUUCUGCUGGCAGCAGAGAGACAACAAAGUGCUUGAGUAAGGGUCUGCUUGGAAACCAGCCCCUGGGUGAGGAGAGCAGUAGGAACAUCUGUCCAGAAGAUUUGGGAACCAAAGCUGUGAAUGAAGCUGCCAUCGCAGCAGAGGAUGAUGAUGUGUUCCAAGAAAACCACACCUCUGCUGGGUUUUCACAAUAUCCAGUCACAUGGGAUGGUUUCAGGAUAAGCAGCCCUGAAGUUAAGGACAGAACUGUCCAGAUCUCCAGCCCGGAUAUAUCCCCGGUCCCCAUUUGCUCUAGCCCUAUUCCACGAUCAUCUUUGCAGGCAGGAGCAAUACGCAAAGCUGGGCAGGAGAUCUUCAGUGGUGAGCAGCAGAAAGGAGAGACAAGACAAUUAAAUGAUGUCCUCCACCUUGCAGGGCAGCCACUGGCUUCUGAAGCCCAGUCCUCUUGCUGUUCAUCGCUGCUGUUAGAAGGCGCAGACUUGUCAAGCUAUGGAGCUAAGCUUCAAAAAAUGAAGGAUGAAUUCAUAGGUUCAGCCCUGGAACUUAUUAAGAAAAGGUAA
Long non-coding RNA from Coturnix japonica (Japanese quail), 1572 nucleotides. The record is from Ensembl. Lineage: Eukaryota; Metazoa; Chordata; Aves; Galliformes; Phasianidae.